GUGCUGUCAUUGUUUGUGAUCCUGACAAGGGUUUGCUUAAAGUGACAGGUGAUGGUGUCACAGUUCUUGUUUCUCAAGUGAACGGUUCUAAAUUAAGGUCGGUAGAAGAAGUGGCAGCAGCUUCAGAUGGAAGCUUAUAUUUCAGCGUUGGUAGCACCAAGUAUAAUGUGCACAACUGAUAUCUGGAUCUGCUGGAGCUAAGACC
This is a long non-coding RNA of Neltuma alba, 205 nucleotides long. RefSeq lists it as uncharacterized. The record is from RefSeq and is a predicted model, not a curated record. The transcript has 3 exons. NCBI's taxonomy places the organism in Eukaryota, Viridiplantae, Streptophyta, Magnoliopsida, Fabales, Fabaceae.